UUUAUUUUCCUUUGACAUUUACCCCCUUUUUAAAAUCUUUUGGAGAAAGCAUUUUAGAAGAAAAAGAGUUUUUUUUUGUUCCAGAUUUGCCUCAUGGCUAGGAUGGUUUUUUCCUAGACAGGUAGGUCUCACGUUAUCAGGAAAGGUCAUUUUUAGUAGGUUGUGAAUUCUUACAUUCUACAAAGAAAAAACAGGAGGAAGAAGGGAGAAAAACAACAACAACAAAAAUAUGAAGAGCAAUCCUGAAAAAUCAAUAUAGGCCAUCUUACUCUGAAGUUCAUACAUCAGUAGGCAGGUAUGCAAGUGGUUUAUAUAUGUAAAUAGGUUGCUGCCAUUUCAUUUUCUUCUGAAGUUUACCUUUUCUCGCUUCAGUUUGCAGGGCUUAAAGAAAGCACAGGUUAAUUUUUGGUGAUUUCAAAUCAGGAAAAGUUGGGAGGGGGAAGGAAAGAAAAUAAAAUUGUAACUAUUAUUUUGAAGACUUGUAGCCAGGAAAAAUUUUAGAAUUCAGUCCAUGCUGUAGAAAAUAAUAAAAAUUCAAAAACAUGAGGCAAGACUAGAAUCUAACAACAGGUGUACUGUAGUGCAAAAGAAAAAUAAAUCGUGGGACCCCCAAAUCACUGAGCUAAAGGGAAAGUCAAGCUAGAAACUGUUUAGGGCAAACCUGCCUCCCAUUCUAUUCAGUCAUCCUUCUGCUCACUGAGGUAAAUGCAUAUCUGAUUGCCUCUGUUGGAAAAGCUUAUGAGAAACUCAAAAGAAUUCAACCUUUGUCUCUUAUCUACCUAUGACCUGGAAGCCCACUCCUCAAUUCUAGUCAUCCCACCUUUUUUGGACCUAACCAAUGUUCAUCUUUCAUAUAUUGAUUUAAUUCUCAUGUCUCCCUAAAAUGUAUAAAACCAAACUGUUCCCUGACUACCUGGGCACAUGUCUUCAGGACCUCCUGAGGCUGUGUUACGGCACAUGUUCUCACUUGGCAAAAUAAGCUUUCUAAAUUUGCUGAGAUCAGUCUCAGAUAUUUGGGGUCCACAGUUUGGUAACCAUUAAGGGAUUCUUAGUGGAGGUGCCCUGACAUUGACAAAACUCCUAUUGGUGUCCGGUACCAGCUUGAGCUAUCCUUAAGGCUCAAACUAAUAGAACAUUUUGCUGAGGUCUGGAAGCCACCUUCCCCCUCCCCCCCCAACUUCCCCCGUGCUUCCAGAGAAUCCCUGAUCUUCAAUAAUUUGGUUAAAGUCUAAAGUGUAUUUUGCUGUACAGCUCCCUUUUUUUGGAGUUUUACUUGCUUCCAAUAAGGAAGGCAAGUUUUCCUGUUUCCAUGAUGAUGAAAGGCAGGUAACUCCUUUCUGGAGCUUGAGCUUGUUUCCAACGGGAGAAAAGUUUAAGUUUUUUCCUGCUUCUAGGAUGGUAGAGAACAGUCUUCAGCCUGAGAUCCAUCCCUAGGUAUGUAGCUGAAUUGGGGUAUUUUUCUUGGCUAAAGUUAAGACUAACAACAAGCUGGUCUUAAUUUCUCCUUAACAUUAGAGCACUCAGUAAUCAGAUAAAUUGGGAGAUCAUUUGUUUUGCUUAAUGGUUUCUUGUUGUUCUUUGUUUGUUUCUGUAUUUGUUGUUGAUUUGGUCUUUUUCCCAUUGGGUUUGACCAACUCUAUCCGACUUGAUCAAAUCCAAAGGAAAGUUCCAAAUUAUGGAGAACAAGGCCUCUGAAGUGGCUAAAUUUCCACACACAAAAAAUAAAAAUAAAAAAGAUGGGGAAUGGGUUGGGAGAAAAACAGCAAACAACAAAAACGAUUUUUUAUUUUGACUACUUAACCGGCUUUAUUUACAUAAUAAGCCCAUCUUUUUGCUAGACAAACCAAACUGAAAGAGCAAUGGCUGUCACCCCAUGCUGCAGUUUCAUAGCUGAGGUUCUACUUUCUUUCUUAUUUUCCCUAUGACAGCCUGAGUUUGCUUCCUAAAUCAAGACCUUUGUGUUUUGAUACUUGUUACCUCUGAAAUAUCAACAAUCUGUCCUAGCUAAAAUGUGGUAAUGAUGUCAGAGGUGUUUAAACCAGAGCAACUCCAUCUAAAAUGGGGGAUGGGUAAAAUACGACUGAGACCUACUGGGCUGAAUUCCCAGGAGGUUAGGCAUUCUAAGUCACAGGAUGAUCUAGUACGUCAGCACAAGAUACAGGUUAUAAAGUCUUCCUUUGCUGAUAAAACAGGUUGCAGCAAAAAAAGCCGGCCAAAACCCACCAAAGCCAAUUUGGGGAUGAAAGUGACCUCUGGUUGUCCUCACUGCUCAUUAUAUGCUAAUUAUAAUACAUUAGCACGCUAAAAGCCACGCCCAACAGCACCAUGACAGUUUACCAAUGUCAUGACAAUGUCAGGAAGUCACUCUAUAUGGUCUAAAAAGGGGAGGAACCCUCAGUUCCUAGAAGCACACAUCCCUUUCCCAGAAAACUCAUGAAUAAUCCAGCCCACGUUUAACAUAUAAUCGAGAAAUAACUAGAAGUAUCCUUAAUGGAGCAGUGCAAGCCACUGCUCUGCCUAUGGAGUAGCCAUUCUUUUAUUCCCUCACUUUCUUAAUAAAUUUGUGUUUACUUUAUGGACUUGCCUUGAUUUCUUUCUUGUGUGAGAUCCAAGAACCCUCCCUUGGGGUCUGGAUUCAGACUCCUUUCUGGUAACAUCUUUCUGGCAAACCACUAAGGGAUUAUACUGAAAUGACCCCCGACCCAAAGGAAAAUCUUCUGUGUGCAGCACCACUUGGCCAACUUUGGGUAAGUGAGGCGCAUUUAACUCGGUAAAGAAUGGAAUUGGGUUAGAGACCCAACUUAGAAAAGUUAGAGUCUGCCCUAAGAUAGAGAGGGUUAAAGACCCCCUCUUAAUAAAAGGCAAGGGUGCUUGACUGAACCUGUUUGGGGCCCAACUUAGGAAGGUUAGAGCCCUUCCUAAGAUUUAUGGGGUUGGAGGCCCCUCUCAGUAAAGUUCCUCUCGGCUAAAAGUGGGUUUGGCACUACUGGAUGUUAACUGCUAUUUUCUUUGGACUUAUCUGCCUUGCACUCUUUGCUGAUGGCUAUGGGAGACAGAAUUAAACAUAUUCAGGAUCAAAGGACAUGGCGAGCUAUUUUUCCCCAAAAGGGAGACACUCGAGAGCUGAUGGGACUUCUGGAUAAGAUCCCUUUGUGACUGAAAAGCAGCUGCUUGAACUUUUGAUUAAGUCUAACUGCAGUGGGUGGGUCUUUCUCUGGCCUCCCUGAGUUCCUCACCUUCCCCACCCUGCUUCAGGCAAUGCUUUUCUCCCUUUCUCUUCUUUCCCUGUCCUAUCUUUUCUGUCAUUCAGGGGAACCUUCUUGCCCAGAGAUCGCAUGUUGAAAAAUGUCCUUGGGAGCUUUGUCUUGGUCUCUGCCAUAUCUUGUAUACAUGUGGUGGUACUUUCUCUUGGUCUCUGCCAUCCAGGGAAGAGGAAUUUGGGGGUACAUGUCAUAGUUAUCUCUGAAAAUUAAAUUGAGCCAUUAAAAGCCAAUGCAAUCUCAAAAUUGACUGCUCUAGUCUCCUGGGAAGAGCAAUAAAAUAUUUUCAAUUCUACAGCUUAGCAGCUAAGGCUUUGUGUUUUUCCAGUGGUGGCACAGGUUCAGGGUUCAAUUCCUGGCUUAGGGAAUAAGCCCUUUCUGGUUUGAUAUCUGCAUGACAUUUACCAUUUGUUGAUUAUCUUCCCCUCCACAAACCAUGUUGAAUUUUUCUUUCUUUGAGGACAGAAAUAUUGGCCAUUUGGCCUGGCUAAAUUUGGGUAAUAAGAAAUUUAAAAGGAUCUUUUUAAAAAGAGUAUUACAUUUAAAAGUCAGCCUAAUUAAAAGAGGAUAUUCAAGCUCUAAAAGCCUGGGACUCCUUGUGAACAACAAGUAGUGCCACAGACCUUGUUUUGGGAAAAAACUCUUUUUUUUUUUGUUUGUUUUUUCUCAUGAAACCCCAGGAACCAGAAGUGGAGAGAUCCCUUCAAAAUCUAAGGCUCUUUUCUCUUUUGCAUUGCAUUAUCAGGUGUUUUUAACCCUUGGGGGGAUCAGAAAUUGCUCCACAUUAAAAUAGAACUUUGGUGUGUAAUAACUGGGUAGGAAAUAUGCUUUGGGGAAUAGCUAAUGACAGUUAAAGGUGAAUACUUGGCUUUUCACAUGUUUGGAUCAGAGGAGCAUGCUCUUGGCCACCUAGAAGGUAUGGCAACGUGCUCAUCCCUGCCCCACACUGAGACCUAAGAAGACUCCCAUGGAAGAUGGGGUAAUCACAGAGUAGGUUGAGUGGCUUUGAAUUGCUUUGCAGUGAAAUGCACAGUAAAAUCAUUGCACUGUCUUGUUCUGUAGCAUUUGUCUUUUUUGGGAUUUAAGAUAUGAUAUAAAGUGGGACCCUUAAAUUUUGGGGGAUCUUUUUUGCUUUCCAGCUGUGCCUGUUUAUUAAGCCAUAGAAACUGCAUGUUUUCCUGGCCCUGUUCCUCCAAGGGCUCCACCCUGAAGCAGUAAUCUGAUUAAGAACCUGGCAAAUAAAAAAUCUUAAAACUACUGGAACAUUUCUGUCUAUGUAUUUAUAUGUGUUGUGUGUGUGUGAUAUGAAAGAGCUUUGAUUGUUUUCGAAAAUCAUAAGAGCUUAAAUCUAACAUUCUAUCAGAAAAUAAAAACAAACGAAUGCCUUUUAGUUCAUGUGACUUUAGUAAAGUUUCAGAAAUAAAAACAGUUUUGAAGAUCAUUGGUAAAAUUCAAAUGUCUUCAAAAUUCAGACAUUUGGUCUGAAGUAGGUUAAAUAUUAAGUUUGCUAGAUGUGUUAGGGUCAUAAACGGCUUCUUUGAUUUUUGAAAAUUGUUCAACCUACUUACUUUGAAGCAGAUUCUAGGUAAAGCCUGGGGAUAUGUGGUGUUAGCCAUGCCUCCUAGUUAUGCUGGAUAGUCAAACCUUAUCUGCACUUCUUUCUGUGUCCUAGGCUCCAAAGGUAGUACAUAGUUAAAAUCACCUACAAUCCAGGUUUUUCCACCAAUGGUUCCUAAGAGUUCUUUCUUUAGGCUGUAUUUGUGAAUAUAUGUUUUUGGUAGGUGUUCCAAAAUUAUUAGAAACUUCUGUAACCCUGAUAUAACUUAGUGUAUGCUAUUAAUAGUUAUAAUAAUUGUUAUGUAAAAUUGUUGUAUGCCACAGAAGUCACCAAAAUUCUUAGUCAAUUGUGGCUUUAAUAGAGACUGCCCUAAAGUGUUUUGUCAUCCAGGGACAAUUGUUGCCUUGUUUUUUUUUGUUUUGUUUUGUUUUUGUUUUUCUUUAGAGGUGGUUUCAUAAUCAGCUACAGAACCCUAAUAGGUGUUCUUAAAUGCAGGUUUCUGAUAAAUUUGGAGAUUGUGAUGUUAGAAUAGAAGAAAAAACUUUCAGGAUCUCCUGGAGUGCUGAAAUGUUCACGAAUAUCAGGCAGAACAGGAGUUAACAACAUGGACUGGACUAAUAGAAGACUAAAGUAAUCUUCUUGACUUUUUGCUUAAAAGGAUCCUCUGUUUUGUUUUUCAGAGCCAAUAAAACUUUUCUUUUGAGUGAUUUGCAGCUUUUAACAAGUAAGUAAAAUAUACUCCUGUGAACAAAAUUUGGAGCAUAUUUGUUUCUCUCUACCUGAUUUCUCCAGAAUUUGGAAACUAUUCGUGAGUAUUCUUAACUUAUGACAAUACAGUUAUUUGCAUAAGUGCAAUAAGAAUGUUUUCUUCUGUAACAGGACAAAAUAAAAGAAACCAGUUAUUUUACCAAGGCUUUGACUGGAAUGGCUUGCUUUCCUUUAAGGAAUCGAAUUUGGCUUACAGGGCCAAUAAAAGCCCCUUGGGAAAACUGGCCUCAUACCCUGUCUACACUGUCCUGUACAGGGUUCCUGACCUGUAGUAAAUAAAGAAUGUCACUUUCUAACAGGCCCAGGAGCCCUAGGUUAUCUUGGGACCUCGAAAAAAGAGGAAUUUACCUAACUGAUAAAUAUUUGAUAGUACAAACCUAUGGCUAGGCUUGGCUUUGGAAAAAAGCCUUAUCUGAGAUUCCUUUUGUGGAACAAAGUCCAAUCAAAGCCAAUUUAAAAAGCCUAUGUGAAAAAUGAUUAUUUUUGCUGUACUUUACACAAAUAAUCAGGCUAAGUGUAAGACUAUGGCGUAUUUUUGCAAACAAAUCAGCCCUGUUAGGAUUUGUCUUUAGUAAAAAUGGGAGAAUGGAGAGAUAGAAAAAACAUAUUUUAAAAACAAUGGUACACUUGUUAUAAAAUUGUGAUCUCAUCAGUUAUUUUUGAGUUUUCUUUCUACGAUUUAGACUGAACCUGCUUAUUUCUGUGAACCAACCAGUGAUCUCUUAUGGCUGUUCAAAAGUAAAAAGAGAGAUAUCACCUUUUGUCAUAACUCAAGUCUUAUGAAUGGCCCUCACCAUAACGAUGCUUUUUGACUGAGCUCUUCUCUAACCUGAAUGCAAGAGGUUAGGCAUGAAUAUCAUCCCCCCUGUUCAGCCUGAAGAAGUUACAGAAGAUGAAUCUUCCUCUCUCUACAGCCCUUAGGAUUAAGGGUUCUCUUACUGAAUGUAUUCUUAAAUUGAACACUUAUUAAUCUUCCAGAUAUCACCUUUUGUCAUAACUCAAGAGUUAUGAAUGGCCUUCACCAUAAUGAUGCUUUUUGACUGAGCUCUUCUCUAACCUGAAUGCAAGAGGUUAGGCAUGAAUAUCAUCCCCCCUGUUCAGCCUGAAGAAGUUACAGAAGAUGAAUCUUCCUCUCUCUACAGCCCUUAGGAUUAAGGGUUCUCUUAUAAAAGGGAGGGGGUAAAUAUGUCAGAGGCAUUUGAACCAGAGAAACUCCAUCUUGAAUAGUCCCUGUGUAAAAUAAGACUGAGACCUACUGGGAUGCAUUCCCAGGAGGUUAGGCAUUCUAAUUCACAGGAUGAGAUAAGAAGUCUCCACAAGAUACAGAUUAUAAAGAUUUGGCUGAUAAAACUGUUUGUGAUAAAGAAGCUGGCCAAAACACACCAAAACCAAGAUGCCAACAAAAGUGUCCUCUGGUUGUCCUCACUGCUCAUUAUAUGCUAAUUAUAAUGCAUUAGCAUGUUAAAAGACACUCCCACCAGUGCAAUGACAAUGUACAAAUGCCUUGGCAACAUCAAGAAGUUACCCUAUGUGGUUUAAAAAUGGUAGGAACCCUCAGUUCUGGGAAUUGCCCACCCCUUUUCUGGAAAACUCAUGAAUAAUCCACCCCUUAUUUAGCAUAUAAUCAAGAAAUAACUGGAAGUAUCCUUAGUGAAGCAGCCCAAGCCACUACUCUUCCUAUGGAGUAGACAUUCUUUCAUUAGUUAACUUUAUUAAUAAACUUGCUUUCACUUUGUA
Pan troglodytes (chimpanzee) is the source of this 7323-nucleotide long non-coding RNA. RefSeq lists it as uncharacterized. The transcript is spliced from 2 exons. Lineage: Eukaryota; Metazoa; Chordata; Mammalia; Primates; Hominidae. The record is from RefSeq and is a predicted model, not a curated record.